Molecule: transfer RNA, 70 nt
Filed under: Anadara cornea
Lineage: Eukaryota; Metazoa; Mollusca; Bivalvia; Arcoida; Arcidae
Description: tRNA-Asn
Source: RNAcentral
CGAUCUAGGAGCUUGUAUUUUAAGCGUCUGAUUGUUGCUCAGAGUAAGGUUGAUUUUGAACUCUAGGUCU